This 786-nucleotide ribosomal RNA is filed under the name uncultured bacterium. Its description in RNAcentral is "bacterial SSU rRNA". It matches the Rfam family "Bacterial small subunit ribosomal RNA", at positions 89 to 860 of the family's 1533-position model. The record is from RNAcentral.
GGAUGAGUGGCGAACGGGUGAGUAACACGUGGGAAAUCUGCCUAGGAGUGGGGGAUAACAUUCGGAAACGGAUGCUAAUACCGCAUAUCUUUUUGAACCGCAUGGUUCUUAAACGGAAGACGGCUUCGGCUGUCGCUCUUAGAUGAUCCCGCGGCGUAUUAGUUAGUUGGUGGGGUAAAGGCCUACCAAGACCAUGAUACGUAGCCGACCUGAGAGGGUGAUCGGCCACACUGGGACUGAGACACGGCCCAGACUCCUACGGGAGGCAGCAGUAGGGAAUCCUCCACAAUGGGUGAAAACCUGAUGGAGCAAUGCCGCGUGAAUGAAGAAGGUCUUCGGAUCGUAAAGUUCUGUUAUUAGAGAAGAACAAGUCAAGGAGUAACUGUCUUGACUUUGACGGUACCUAACCAGAAAGUCACGGCUAACUACGUGCCAGCAGCCGCGGUAAUACGUAGGUGACAAGCGUUGUCCGGAAUUAUUGGGCGUAAAGGGAGCGCAGGCGGUUGGAAUAGUCUGAUGUGAAAGCCCACGGCUUAACCGUGGAAGGUCAUUGGAAACUGUCCAACUUGAAUACAGAAGAGGUAAGUGGAAUUCCAAGUGUAGCGGUGAAAUGCGUAGAUAUUUGGAGGAACACCAGUGGCGAAGGCGACUUACUGGUCUGUAAUUGACGCUGAGGCUCGAAAGCGUGGGUAGCAAACAGGAUUAGAUACCCUGGUAGUCCACGCCGUAAACGAUGAGUGCUAAGUGUUAGGGGGUUUCCGCCCCUUAGUGCUGGAGUUAACGCAU